This 229-nucleotide ribosomal RNA is filed under the name uncultured bacterium. Its description in RNAcentral is "partial 16S ribosomal RNA". It matches the Rfam family "Bacterial small subunit ribosomal RNA", at positions 568 to 796 of the family's 1533-position model. The record is from RNAcentral.
UCCGUAGGUGGAUAAUUAAGUCAGAGGUGAAAUCCUGCAGCUCAACUGUAGAAUUGCCUUUGAUACUGGUUAUCUUGAAUUAUUGUGAAGUGGUUAGAAUAUGUAGUGUAGCGGUGAAAUGCAUAGAUAUUACAUAGAAUACCAAUUGCGAAGGCUGAUCACUAACAAUAUAUUGACACUGAUGGACGAAAGCGUGGGGAGCGAACAGGAUUAGAUACCCUGGUAGUCC